This 206-nucleotide ribosomal RNA is filed under the name uncultured fungus. RNAcentral describes it as "partial small subunit ribosomal RNA". It matches the Rfam family "Eukaryotic small subunit ribosomal RNA", at positions 582 to 786 of the family's 1831-position model. The record is from RNAcentral. Lineage: Eukaryota; Fungi.
AUUUCAGCUCCAAUAGCGUAUAUUAAAGUUGUUGCAGUUAAAAAGCUCGUACUUGAAUUUCGGGAUUGACAUAUCGGUCGUGCCUUAAGGGGUAUGAACUGGUGUAGUCAAUUUCUCACCUUCUGGAGAACCGCGAUGCCCUUAAUUGGGUGUCACGGGGAACCAGGACCUUUACUUUGAAAAAAUUAGAGUGUUUAAAGCAGGCA